RNAcentral lists this ribosomal RNA (407 nucleotides) under Verrucomicrobiota bacterium. RNAcentral's name for it is "Verrucomicrobia bacterium partial 16S ribosomal RNA". It matches the Rfam family "Bacterial small subunit ribosomal RNA", at positions 355 to 776 of the family's 1533-position model. Lineage: Bacteria; Pseudomonadati; Verrucomicrobiota. The record is from RNAcentral.
UGGGGAAUAUUGGACAAUGGAGGAAACUCUGAUCCAGCAAUUCUGUGUGUGUGAAGAAGGUUUUAGGACUGUAAAACACUUUUAGUAGGGAAGAAAAAAAUGACGGUACCUACAGAAGAAGCAACGGCUAAAUACGUGCCAGCAGCCGCGGUAAUACGUAGGGGGCUAGCGUUGUCCGGAAUCACUGGGCGUAAAGGGUUCGCAGGCGGAAUAACAAGUCAGAUGUGAAAGGCAUGGGCUCAACCCAUGUAAGCAUUUGAAACUGUAAUUCUUGAGAAGUGGAGAGGUAAGUGGAAUUCCUAGUGUAGCGGUGAAAUGCGUAGAUAUUAGGAGGAAUACCUGUGGCGAAGGCGACUUACUGGACACAAAUCUGACGCUGAGGAACGAAAGCGUGGGUAGCAAACAGG